AGUGAACGCUGGCGGUAGGCCUAACACAUGCAAGUCGAACGGCAGCACCGUAAGAGCUUGCUCUUACGGGUGGCGAGUGGCGGAAGGGUGAGGAAUACAUCGGAAUCUACUUUUUCGUGGGGGCUAACGUAGGGAAACUUACGCUAAUACCGCAUACGACCUACGGGUGAAAGCAGGGGAUCUUCUGACCUUGCGCGAUUGAAUGAGCCGAUGUCGGAUUAGCUAGUUGGCGGGGUAGAGGCCCACCAAGGCGACGAUCCGUAGCUGGUCUGAGAGGAUGAAUCGACAGACUGGAAGUGAGACAGGGUCCCGACUCCGAGGGUAGGAAGCAGUGGGGAAUAUUGGACAAGGGGGGAAAGCCUGAUCCAGCCAUACCGCGUGGGUGAAGAAGGCCUUCUGGUUCUAAAGCCCUUUUGUUGUUAAAGAAAAGCAGCAGGUUAAUACCCCGCUGUUCUGACGGUACCCAAAGAAUAAGCACCGGCUAACUUCGUG
This 492-nucleotide ribosomal RNA is filed under the name uncultured bacterium. RNAcentral describes it as "partial 16S ribosomal RNA". It matches the Rfam family "Bacterial small subunit ribosomal RNA", at positions 29 to 507 of the family's 1533-position model. The record is from RNAcentral.